GGAGAACAUAGGAGAAGCUUCAAAUCAAGACAAAGGCACAAGACAUGAUACAAAGACAUAAAUUCAGAGUCAUGACAAGAAUGGGACGUCACUUAAUUUCAUAUGCGAGUCAAGGCAGACGGCUGAAGCUUCAUUGUACAGAGAGACAUAAUCUGCAGUGUGUCUCUGAUAUCAGCAUGUUUGAUACAGAGGUCGUCUCUCCAGAUGUGGCUGCAGCUCUGUGGGCUCGAGGCCCUGCCAGAUGUGGAUUCUGACCACUGAACAAAAGUCCAUCUGGGACUCUGGAACCAGUCGCAGCAGUAAAUGAGCGACAUCUUUAACUGUUUAAUGAAAACACUCACCAACAACAAGCUCGAUGAUGGAUGUUUGUCUCGGUUGAUGACGUGGAAAAUCACAGCUGUAGUUCCCGCUGUCGGCCAUCUUUGUUCCUGUGAUCUUUAUGGAGGCGUCACCGUUCUUCAGUUGAUCUU
Acanthopagrus latus (yellowfin seabream) is the source of this 470-nucleotide long non-coding RNA. RefSeq lists it as uncharacterized. Lineage: Eukaryota; Metazoa; Chordata; Actinopteri; Spariformes; Sparidae. The record is from RefSeq and is a predicted model, not a curated record. The transcript is spliced from 2 exons.